Molecule: ribosomal RNA, 791 nt
Filed under: uncultured Planctomycetota bacterium
Lineage: Bacteria; Pseudomonadati; Planctomycetota
Description: bacterial SSU rRNA
Rfam family: Bacterial small subunit ribosomal RNA
Source: RNAcentral
GCAAGUCGAGCGAAUCCCCGCAAGGGGGGAAGCGGCGAAAGGGGCAGUAAGGCGUGGGUAACCUACCCCGGGGACUGGUAUAGCCCUUCGAGAGAAGGGGUAAUCCCGGGCGACGUGUCGAGGGGGCAUCCCCUUGCCACCAAAUGAGUUUCGCCCCGGGAGGGGCCCACGUGGUGUUAGCUAGUUGGUGGGGUAACGGCCCACCAAGGCGAAGAUGCCUAGCGGGUGUGAGAGCACGACCCGCGCCACUGGCACUGAGACACUGGCCAGACACCUACGGGUGGCUGCAGUCGAGGAUCUUCGGCAAUGGGCGCAAGCCUGACCGAGCGACGCCGCGUGGGCGAUGAAGGCCUUCGGGUUGUAAAGCCCUGUCGAGGGGGAGAAAGUGGAAACUUGAUCUAUCCCUGGAGGAAGCACGGGCUAAGUUCGUGCCAGCAGCCGCGGUAAGACGAACCGUGCGAACGUUGUUCGGAAUCACUGGGCUUAAAGGGCGCGUAGGCGGGCCGCCAAGUCCGCGGUGAAAUCCCCCGGCUCAACCGGGGAACUGCCGCGGAUACUGGAGGUCUCGAGGGGGGUAGGGGCAUGCGGAACUGCGGGUGGAGCGGUGAAAUGCGUUGAUAUCCGCAGGAACUCCGGUGGCGAAGGCGGCGUGCUGGACCCCUUCUGACGCUGAGGCGCGAAAGCCAGGGGAGCGAACGGGAUUAGAUACCCCGGUAGUCCUGGCCCUAAACGAUGGGAACUAGGUUGUAGGCUAGACAUGGGCUUACAGCCGAAGCAAAAGUGCUAAGUUC